Molecule: ribosomal RNA, 253 nt
Filed under: uncultured bacterium
Lineage: Bacteria
Description: partial 16S ribosomal RNA
Rfam family: Bacterial small subunit ribosomal RNA
Source: RNAcentral
UACGGAGGUCGCAAGCGUUGUUCGGAAUUACUGGGCGUAAAGCGCGUGUAGGCGGCCAGGUAAGUCGGAUGUGAAAGCCCGGGGCCCAACCCCGGAACUGCACCCGAUACUGCCCGGCUGGAGUCCCGGAGAGGAUGGCGGAAUUUCCGGUGUAGAGGUGAAAUUCGUAGAUAUCGGAAGGAACACAAGUGGCGAAGGCGGCCAUCUGGACGGUGACUGACGCUGAGACGCGAAAGCGUGGGGAGCAAACAGG